RNAcentral lists this ribosomal RNA (770 nucleotides) under uncultured bacterium. Its description in RNAcentral is "bacterial SSU rRNA". It matches the Rfam family "Bacterial small subunit ribosomal RNA", at positions 8 to 796 of the family's 1533-position model. The record is from RNAcentral.
AGAGUUUGAUCAUGGCUCAGAACGAACGCUAUCGGUAUGCUUAACACAUGCAAGUCGAACGGACUAAUUAGGGCUUGCUCUAAUUAGUUAGUGGCAGACGGGUGAGUAACACGUGGGGAAUCUGCCCAUCAGUACGGAAUAACUUUUAGAAAUAAAAGCUAAUACCGUAUAUUCUCUACAGAGGAAAGAUAUAUCGCUGAUGGAUGAGCCCCGCGUCAGAUUAGGUAGUUGGGUGAGGUAAUGGGCUCACCAAGCCCAACGAUCUGUAGCUGGGUCUGAGAGGAUGAUCAGCCCACACUGGGGACUGAGACACGGCCCAGACUCCCUACGGGAGGCAGCAGUGGGGGAAUAUUGGACAAUGGGGCGAAAGCCCUGAUCCAGCAAUACCCGAGUGAGUGAUGAAGGCCUUUAGGGUUGUAAAGCUCUUUUAGCAAGGAAGAUAAUGACGUUACUUGCAGAAAAAGCCCCGGCUAACUCCGUGCCAGCAGCCGCGGUAAGACGGAGGGGGCUAGCGUUGUUCGGAAUUACUGGGCGUAAAGAGUGCGUAGGCGGUUUAGUAAGUUGGAAGUGAAAGCCCGGGGCUUAACCUCGGAAUUGCUUUCAAAACUACUAAUCUAGAGUGUAGUAGGGGAUGAUGGAAUUCCUAGUGUAGAGGUGAAAUUCUUAGAUAUUAGGAGGAACACCGGUGGCGAAGGCGAUCAUCUAGGCUAUAACUGACGCUGAUGCACGAAAGCGUGGGGAGCAAACAGGAUUAGAUACCCUAGUAGUCC